GAUGAACGCUGGCGGCGUGCCUAAUACAUGCAAGUCGAGCGAACAGAGGAGGAGCUUGCUCCUCUGACGUUAGCGGCGGACGGGUGAGUAACACGUGGAUAACCUACCUAUAAGACUGGGAUAACUUCGGGAAACCGGAGCUAAUACCGGAUAAUAUAUUGAACCGCAUGGAUCAAUAGUGAAAGACGGUUUUGCUGUCACUUAUAGAUGGAUCCGCGCCGCAUUAGCUAGUUGGUAAGGUAACGGCUUACCAAGGCAACGAUGCGUAGCCGACCUGAGAGGGUGAUCGGCCACACUGGAACUGAGACACGGUCCAGACUCCUACGGGAGGCAGCAGUAGGGAAUCUUCCGCAAUGGGCGAAAGCCUGACGGAGCAACGCCGCGUGAGUGAUGAAGGUCUUCGGAUCGUAAAACUCUGUUAUUAGGGAAGAACAAAUGUGUAAGUAACUAUGCACGUCUUGACGGUACCUAAUCAGAAAGCCACGGCUAACUACGUG
RNAcentral lists this ribosomal RNA (497 nucleotides) under uncultured bacterium. RNAcentral's name for it is "partial 16S ribosomal RNA". It matches the Rfam family "Bacterial small subunit ribosomal RNA", at positions 28 to 507 of the family's 1533-position model. The record is from RNAcentral.